AACGAACGCUGGCGGUGCGCUUAAUGCAUGCAAGUUGAACGAGAAAGAUCUGAUUCGUUGGAUCUGGACAGUAGCAAACGGCUGAGUAACACGUAAGUGACCUGCCCCGAAGCGGGGGAUAAUCUCGAGAAAUCGGGCUUAAUACCGCGUAAGUCCCAUUGAUUACGGUCAAUGGGGGAAAGGUAUUUUGAUUCGUUGAAAUAUCGCUUUGGGAGGGGCUUGCGGCCUAUCAGGUAGUUGGUAAGGUAACUGCUUACCAAGCCUAAGACGGGUACCCGGUGUGAGAGCACGAACGGGCAGAGGGGGACUGAGACACGGCCCCCACUCCUACGGGAGGCAGCAGCAGGGAAUCUUGCGCAAUGGGCGAAAGCCUGACGCAGCGACACCGCGUGAGGGAUGACGGCCUUAGGGUUGUAAACCUCUUUUCUUGGGGAAGAAUUUUUGACGGUACUCAAGGAAUAAGCAUCGGCUAACUACGUGCCAGCAGCCGCGGUAAUACGUAGGAUGCGAGCGUUGUUCGGAAUUAUUGGGCGUAAAGAGCGAGUAGGCGGUAAUUCAAGUCUUAUGUGAAAUCUCCCGGCUUAACUGGGAGCGGUCAUGAGAAACUGUUUUGCUAGAGGAUACCAGAGGUAAGUGGAAUUCCCGGAGUAGCGGUGAAAUGCGUAGAUACCGGGGGGAACACCAGAGGCGAAGGCGACUUACUGGGGUAUUCCUGACGCUGAGGCGCGAAAGCAUGGGUAGCAAACCGGAUUAGAUACCCGGGUAGUCCAUGCCCUAAACGAUGGAUACUAGACUUGGGGGGUAUCGACCCCCUCUGAGUCGUAGCUAACGCGAUAAGUAUCCCGCCUGGGGAGUACGGCCGCAAGGCUAAAACUCAAAAGAAUUGACGGGGGCCCGCACAAGCAGCGGAGCGUGUGGUUUAAUUCGAUGAUAAGCGAAAAACCUUACCUAGACUUGACAUGUUUCUGACAACUGCCGAAAGGCAGCUUUCCUUCGGGACAGAUUCACAGAUGUUGCAUGGCUGUCGUCAGCUCGUGCCGUGAGGUGUUGGUUUAAGUACCGCAACGAGCGCAACCCUUGUCGUUAGUUACUUUUUCUAGCGAGACUGCCCCUAAUUUAGGGGAGGAAGGUGGGGACGACGUCAAGUCGGCACGGCUCUUACGUCUAGGGCUACACACACGCUACAAUGGCCGGUACAGAGGGUUGCGAUAUCGCGAGAUGGAGCUAAUCCCAUAAAGCCGGUCUUAGUUGGAAUUGUAGGCUGAAACUCGCCUACAUGAACGAGGAGCUGCUAGUAACCGCAGGUCAGCACACUGCGGUGAAUACGUUCCCGGGCCUUGUACACACCGCCCGUCAAGUCAUGGAAGUCGGAAACACCUGAAGUCGCUGUACUAACCUUUCGAGGAUGUAGGCGCCGAGGGUGGAGCUGAUGACUGGGACUAAGUCGUAACAAGGUAACC
RNAcentral lists this ribosomal RNA (1460 nucleotides) under uncultured marine microorganism. RNAcentral's name for it is "16S ribosomal RNA". It matches the Rfam family "Bacterial small subunit ribosomal RNA". The record is from RNAcentral.